This 880-nucleotide ribosomal RNA is filed under the name uncultured Arcobacter sp. RNAcentral's name for it is "bacterial SSU rRNA". It matches the Rfam family "Bacterial small subunit ribosomal RNA", at positions 603 to 1478 of the family's 1533-position model. Lineage: Bacteria; Pseudomonadati; Campylobacterota; Epsilonproteobacteria; Campylobacterales; Arcobacteraceae. The record is from RNAcentral.
ANUGGGUNCAAACCAUUGAACUGCUUUGNAAAACUGCUUACCUAGAAUNUGGGAGAGGUAGAUNGNAUUUUCUGGUGUAGGGGUAAAAAUCCGUAGNGAUCAGAAGGAAUACCCGAUUGCGAAGGCGAUCUACUGGAACAUUAUUGACGCUGAGACGCGAAAGCCGUGGGGAGCAAACAGGAUUAGAUACCCUGGUAGUCCACGCCCUAAACCGAUGUACACUAGUUGUUGUGAGGCUAGACCUUGCAGUAAUGCAGUUAACACAUUAAGUGUACCGCCUGGGGAGUGCGGUCGCAAGAUUAAAACUCAAAGGAAUAGACGGGGACCCGCACAAGCGGUGGAGCAUGUGGUUUAAUUCGACGAUACGCGAAGAACCUUACCUGGACUUGACAUAGAAAGAAUAACGCAGAGAUGUGAUAGUGCUAGCUUGCUAGAACUUUCAUACAGGUGCUGCACGGCUGUCGUCAGCUCGUGUCGUGAGAUGUUGGGUUAAGUCCCGCAACGAGCGCAACCCUCGUCGUUAGUUGCUAACAGUUCGGCUGAGAACUCUAACGAGACUGCCUGGGUAACCAGGAGGAAGGUGAGGACGACGUCAAGUCAUCAUGGCCCUUACGUCCAGGGCUACACACGUGCUACAAUGGGGCAUACAAAGAGCAGCGAUACCGCGAGGUGGAGCAAAUCUCAAAAAUGCCUCCCAGUUCGGAUAGUAGUCUGCAACUCGACUACUUGAAGUUGGAAUCGCUAGUAAUCGUAGAUCAGCAAUGCUACGGUGAAUACGUUCCCGGGUCUUGUACUCACCGCCCGUCACACCAUGGGAGCUGAACUCAUUCGAAGCGGNGAUGCUAAAGUAGCUACCCUCCACAGUGGAUUCAGCGACCUG